Thunnus maccoyii (southern bluefin tuna) is the source of this 240-nucleotide long non-coding RNA. RefSeq lists it as uncharacterized. Lineage: Eukaryota; Metazoa; Chordata; Actinopteri; Scombriformes; Scombridae. The transcript has 3 exons. The record is from RefSeq and is a predicted model, not a curated record.
UGGGCGGCCCGCGGGAAGGCGGGGUUGGACCGCCCACAUCCACCACCUCCUGAAAUAAAGAGGCGCUCGAUUAGUCGAUGUUAAAGUCAACAUAGCUUGCUGCAGCCCAGCCAGGCGCUAACACAUUAUCUCCAGUCGAAGAGCUCAGCACAGACAGGAAAUAAGUCUGCCACGUUUAAGAGGGGAGGAAGAGGACACUUGAACUCUGUAUGAACUUCAGCAGUGAAGAGACGAGUCCAG